UACGUAGGGUGCAAGCGUUAAUCGGAAUUACUGGGCGUAAAGCGUGCGCAGGCGGUUUUGUAAGUCUGACGUGAAAGCCCCGGGCUCAACCUGGGAAUUGCGUUGGAGACUGCAAGGCUUGAAUCUGGCAGAGGGGGGUAGAAUUCCACGUGUAGCAGUGAAAUGCGUAGAGAUGUGGAGGAACACCGAUGGCGAAGGCAGCCCCCUGGGUCAAGAUUGACGCUCAUGCACGAAAGCGUGGGGAUCAAACAGG
Molecule: ribosomal RNA, 253 nt
Filed under: uncultured bacterium
Lineage: Bacteria
Description: partial 16S ribosomal RNA
Rfam family: Bacterial small subunit ribosomal RNA
Source: RNAcentral